CUACCACAUGCGGCAUUAUGACAGUGACUUUCUAAUGCUUUCAUCACCAAGAGUUUAGUGACAUCAUAAGUAACAGAACAGUCAAGCAGCAGAAGAGUAGCUUAUAAUAUCUGAUUUGAUUUCUCUUCAAAGAUCCCAAAGUAUAAUUCUUGGGGAACAUUUGUUCUAGCACUGUUCUUCACAUCACCAAGUCUAAAGGAGAGAAUGCAUACUAAGAGAAAAUUUCUAUUCCUGAUUUUAUCUGCUCUAACACUGAUGCAGAUGGAACAAUAUUUCAGAAUAAAGAAUCACCUAGAGAAGAUA
Molecule: long non-coding RNA, 303 nt
Organism: Ochotona princeps (American pika)
Lineage: Eukaryota; Metazoa; Chordata; Mammalia; Lagomorpha; Ochotonidae
Exons: 3
Source: RefSeq, a predicted model, not a curated record